ACGAGCAGAUUGGCUGCUGCCCAUCAACACAUGUCAACAUUAUGACAUGAUAAAAUCAGUGAGUCUUAAACGAAAGGAAAAGGCAGAAAGGGACAGAAAGCGAGGAGAGGGAGGACAACUCCUCACACAUUUCUGUCAGAAGAAAGAUCCAGAGUGACCAGCCGUGAGUCUGCAGCUGUGGAGAUAAAUCAGAGCUGCAGGACGACAAGGAGCCAGUGGAGGCAGGUGGAGGCAGGUGGAGGCAGGUGAUCAGUUGCUGUUUGCUUCUUGUUUUAAAGUCAGGUUGUGUUCUCGUCCCUCUGUGACCCCAGCAGAUGAGCUGUGUGGAGCCAUCUCACCGUCACUACAGACACCUGAUCCCAUCUGAUCCCAUCUGAUCCCACCUGAACCCACCUGAUCCCAUCUGAUCCCACCUGAUCCCAUCUGAACCCACCUGAUCCCAUCUGAACCCACCUGAACCCACCUGAUUCCA
Long non-coding RNA from Acanthopagrus latus (yellowfin seabream), 472 nucleotides. RefSeq lists it as uncharacterized. The transcript is spliced from 4 exons. The record is from RefSeq and is a predicted model, not a curated record. Lineage: Eukaryota; Metazoa; Chordata; Actinopteri; Spariformes; Sparidae.